Long non-coding RNA from Pezoporus occidentalis (night parrot), 3523 nucleotides. RefSeq lists it as uncharacterized. The transcript is spliced from 3 exons. NCBI's taxonomy places the organism in Eukaryota, Metazoa, Chordata, Aves, Psittaciformes, Psittacidae. The record is from RefSeq and is a predicted model, not a curated record.
GAAAAUAUAAGGCAGCAGUCCACAAAAUAUAGAGAGUGCCUAAAACUAUAUGAAAUACAAUGCUUGGCACAUCUGGAGGAUGGCCCUGUAGCAGAGAUUAAUGGCACCAGUGGAAGUCUUGGGAUAGUAAUCCAAGAAUCAGAGGUCAUAAGUGAGCUGAAGCUUUGGGAGAGACAGCUUAAGCUAUGGCUUUUUAACUAGAGGUUGGAAGUUUGUGUUCAAGAACAGGAAGUUCCAUUACUGUAGCGACCUCUGUACUUAGGUGAAAAGGCUAAACUCAUUCUGAUUUACUUAAACUGAAGACACUAAAGGAAGAAUCUGAGUCUGUAGGUCAGACUCCUAACAAUAACUUCUGAGAGAAAAGGAGGGAGCUUUUGUCAGUAGAUGCAUCUUUUCAAUUUUCUAAUGAUUGAAGAUGUUAUACCCUUCUCUCACUUCUCUGUGUUUGCACACAUUUGCACAAAUCUUCUGCAUGGAUGAGAUAAUCUCAGUUCCAGGUUAUUCAACAGAAUGCUUUGGCUUUCUUUAAGAAAAAUAAAUCUCUGCCAUAGAAUUGCUACCAAUUGUUACCAACACAGCAGCUUUUUUUUGGUUUUUUUUUAGCUUCAGUCUUCUUUUCCCCUUUUUAUAGUCCAUGCUGCCUUUCAUCAGCUUAAUUUAUUUGUAAUUUAUUAAGAUGCAGACAAAUUUUUUUAAACUCUGUUUCAUCAAAGUCUUUCUAUCUUUUUCAGUCAGAUUUUCACACUCCAUGCUGUUUUACAGAGAAUCACUCCCUGCUAUACAUACCAAUACUAAAUAGUAUUCUUCCUUUCUUAUUUAUCUUAGUUGAGGCCCUGAGGAAAGGAUGCUUAUUCUUUAAAUAUUGCCUUACUUGGGGCUGAGAUUAAUCUAGGCAGCACAUGUUGCAAAUAAACUGCAGUAACUGUGCUUUUGGUUUAAGUUUUUGCUUAUAUAUAUUGUAAUACACAGUUGUCAAAGCCAACAGGCUUUAUAUAGAUAUUUUAAUUCUUUUCCACAGUCUUAAGCAUAUUUUUUGUUGUUUUUUUUUUUGGGGGGGGGUGGGGGGGCGGCGGCAAGGUGUUGUGUGUUUCUUUGUUUUUCCUUCCCCCCUCCAGUGUGCAUUUUAACCAGAGUUGUUACUGUUUGUGCUACUGGUGAAAACACUCACUGUGGGUAGAUCACAAAACUGAUAAAUAGUAGAGAGGGGAUGAGACUCAUGGAUGUCUGUAGCGUGGAAAUGUAGAUAGCAAGCAUAAGGCUAAGUUUAGACUUUUGAAACAAUUACCAUAUCUUCAACAUUCACAGUUUGCUCUGGGUCUGGGAUGUUGAAUUCUAACUACUUAUUCACAGCUGAAUUUAGUUAACAUCACUCAAAAGAAUGCCAAAACAGAGCGACAGACAGGAGAGAUUUGAAACAUGCAUAAAAAUAAGUGCAAGUCAUUCUCCUGCUGUGAUUUUAACAAUGGAAGCACAUGAGUGGAAGGGUACAACUUUGUCUUAGUUCAAAUGCAGUUUGCUGCUGACCUGAUCUAGUCUCUUUUGCAUGAUGUCUGCUUGGCUAUCACUGAAAAGCUGUGACAAGUUCCGUUUAAAAUGCACAUAUUUCAGACCUGUAGAUUAAUUCAAUGUUUUUAAGCUGUGAAUAGAUUGUAUGCAAAUGACAUAUAUAUCUGGCUUUAUUAAAUACCGGUUCCUUAUUGGUUUCAAGUCUGAGUUGCAUGCUCACUGGUUUUCAGUAAAACUCAACUAUCGUACUUCUGAAUGUAGUGGACAACUUGCAUCACUUUUUUCUUUUUUUUUUUUCUUAUAAUGGAAGAUUAAGAUCUUAAUUACUGUAAAAAUAUUUUAAUAACUGUUACUAAGCUCCGUUCUGUUGCUAAGAUUACCAGAAUUUACCUUUGUGGCAAUAAACUGUAAGCAAAUGUAUCAAAGUUUAAUAUACACUUGCAGUAAAUGGCAUAGAAAAAUGUGGACUGGAAGCAGGAUUAUUUUGCGUAGAAAACUUUUUAUAUGUCAUAUAUUUGCAUUUGUAAUGUACAGCAUUGUAGCUGUGGUCUGCUUUCAAAAAGCAAUUUGAAGAUUUAACCAGUAAUGCUGCUUCUUGAUACACUGUGGUGCUCUUGUUUGGAAGAGCACUGUGCUGAAUUUGCUUUCUGCUUCUUAUGAUUGUUUGUUUUCUUUACAGUGCCAUAUUUGUUAGGAUGUUUCCUAGAAAACAUAACCCCUGCCCAGAGUUUACAAGCUUAGGACCAAUUCUUACUCCUUUAUGAGCCUGCCUUCAGCCCAAGCCUAAGGAGGGUAUAAUUAGAAAAAAAAACAAAAGCCAUUCUACUGAUACUAUGCAGAUUAUUAAUUGAAACCCCAAAAUGGGAGUGAUUCAGAGUUCCUAGGCCUGUGUGUGCCCCGUGGCUGAUUUUUUUAAGUACCUGUGCUGACUUAAAGAUGGGUUAUACACCUUUCCUGUUCCCUUUACCUGGAAGGAGAUUCAUCUGUGCAAGCAAAAUGGGCUCCGUUUGAAAGACUGGAGGACCAGAGCUUGUCAGGCUGUAGAGCAGAUGCAGCUAGUUGGAUUUAGGGGUCAGGAUGGCCAAAGGGAACCCAUGUUAGAAGUGAUACCUGGAAGAGUAGAGUUUCUUUUUUCUUUUGUGACCUUCCUUUGCCAAACUAUAAUUGAGUGGUUAGUUUAUUUUCUAAAUUUAAAUCUUCCUUUGGCUAUCACCCUCCAUCCUUUUGCUUUGAUAACAGAUUAUAUAUUCUGAAAUUGUGGAGGAAUAGUUAAGAACUCUCCUUAGUUUGUACUAAGUGGCUUUGAAGGCAGCUUAACCGUCUGUGCUUCAUUUGGCUUAUACCCUGGCUUCAUCCAGUGCACCAAUACUUCUUCAGCUACUUGCUAGUUCUGUUGGUACUGUGAAAAUAUCUUUCUUAGGAGCCUUGCACAUAGCAGUUACCAUCCGCAAGAUGAGAAACCAAAUGUAUGAAGGGGUAAACAUUUAUUUGUUACAGUAAUUUUGUAAUUGCUAGUCUGAAUAGACAAGUGUUUGGUUGGAAAUGUGUCUUUUCAUGGCCUUUUCAUGUGGCUUGUCACUGCAAUAAAAUUCACCUUCACCCAGCAGAAUGCCUUUCUCUUUUCCCUGAAUGCCUGUUCCUACCUGAGACAAUGCUUCUCAGGUAGAAGACAGAAAACAAGGGGAUGCUAACUGAAGUAUUAAAGAGAAGAUUGUAUGGAUCUGGUGUAGUAGCUGCAGUCUUUACUUUGGAACACAGUAACAGUGAUGGAUACUUCUAGAUGGAUGGAAGAGGAAGAGAAAUUGGUUUGUUACAAGGGUUUGGGAUUUUGGGUGGGUUUUGUUGUUUGGGUUUUUUUUUUGUUUAUUUUUGGUGGGUUGUUUUUUAGGAAAAAUCAAGUUUUAAUGAGAAAAAGGCUCAUUUAAAUGACUUCAAAUAUGUUACUAGAUUGUUACUAACAAUCUGACAAUGUCUGACACGAAGGAGAGGAGGGAUGCAGAAGGCUCGCUCUCAGGAU